AAAAGUACCCUUAUCCCUUAUGAAAAAGUUAAAAGUGUGUAGUGUGAAAUUGAAUAGUAGCUGAUGUAUAUCACUACUCCUACUCAAAUAGAGAAACUCUACUCGGCAGCCGGUUUAAAAUUCUUACACCGCACACGUGAUGUGGCCAACCCGGUCUGGGCUCCACAUCACGGUUCUUAGCUUACUCGAGCCGAUUUGAUUUCCUCCCCUGAAACAUGCGAUUUCCUCCACUGAAACAGGCGACGAUUUCCUCCACUGAACAUCUGAAACAUCCUCUCCUCAUGCCCAGCCGAUUUCAUCCACAGAAAGCUUUCCUCUCUCUCUCUCUCUCUCUCUCUCUCUCUCUCUCCCCUCUCUCUUGUGCUUCUCCCGUGCUCUUCUCUGUGAUUCUAGGGCAAAUUCGUCCCUUGCGAACUCAAGUCGACUUCGAAUAGAGACCGUGCCUGCAUCCAAAUCUGUGGCCACGCCAACGGUAAGUCUCCACAAACAUAACAUGGUUUUUGGUUCUCCUGUACUGUUACGAGGUAAACUAGUUUCUAUGGUUUAAACUGAUUUUUUGUUGGUGAGGCAUGAUUGAAGUUUGUGGUUGUGUAUAGGUUUUGUAUGGAGGUUGUUUUCUGUAAAUUUUUGCAUGAAUUCUUGAAUUUUUGUUGUCGCCCAUCAGCUGUUUGAUAUUGGACCUGAGAUAUAACCCUCUCAUAAUUUUCAGUACGUAUGCUUCUUUCUAAGAAGUGCUUAUUUAUGCCAAAUUUAGUGAAUCUGCUUUGAUCCUUCAGUAUUCUUUAUAUAUGAUCACUCUGUGUAUCCACGUUGCUUGUGCAUUACUUAUGUCUGGAGAAAAUCUUGAAAAUCAUAUUAAUGUGAAGAACAUUUUGGUCGAAAUGGGAAUUUAUUUUCAUGUACAGGUAAUUGUUUGUUGCAAAAAGGAAUCCAUCUUUCAUUUGAUUGCUGAAAAACUGUGAAGACACAAGUAUAUACCUGAAGCGUUACAGCUGCUGUUUCAACAGCAAAUUAUAAUAGCCAAGUUUUUCUUUCUUUUCCCAUGUCUUGUCAGCAAAUGUAGAUAUGUCUAUGUUCGUGUAUGGAUGUAUAUUUGUAAAUUUGCAAUUUUUUUAUGGAUAAUUUCCCAAAGCUUCUGUGGCAGUGUUAAUGAUACUCUGUUCUGUAGGAUGAGUACACAGAUUGUUUUGGUGCUCUUGAAGUGGUCAGUAAGAGUACGAGAGUGAGAAUUACGAGAAGCUUGUAAAAUCCUUGAAGCUCAUACAAGCGAAUCAAUCCAUGUAUGUAUAACUGCUGGGUUGUUGCAGCAGGCCUAAGACAGUUGAAGAAAUCCUAAAAAUAGAUAUGAAACCUGGUUGGAAGAAGGGCAUGAAAAAUAGAUAUGAAACCUGCUUGUCAUCAUGUAGUCAUACUCAAAAAGAUAAUUUUGAGUCUGAUCAUCAUGGAUGUGUGUGAGAUUAAUCAUUUAUUGAUUAAUGUCUUUGCUUUGUUUUCAUCAUGGAUGUGUGUGUGAUUAAUCAUUUCUACAUGUAAAUUUGCAUGAACCAAAUUCGAUUUUACCACAUGGUCGUUUUGAAA
Long non-coding RNA from Carya illinoinensis, 1578 nucleotides. RefSeq lists it as uncharacterized. NCBI's taxonomy places the organism in Eukaryota, Viridiplantae, Streptophyta, Magnoliopsida, Fagales, Juglandaceae. The record is from RefSeq and is a predicted model, not a curated record. The transcript has 2 exons.